GGUUGAGUCCUGUGCGAUUUCAACGCGUGAACCCUGUCAGGUCCGGAAGGAAGCAGCAGUAAGCGUGGUUUGGGAUGUGCUGCGGGGUUGCUCAGCCUGA
RNAcentral lists this signal recognition particle RNA (100 nucleotides) under Clostridia bacterium. Its description in RNAcentral is "signal recognition particle sRNA small type". It matches the Rfam family "Bacterial small signal recognition particle RNA". From Rfam's summary of the family: The signal recognition particle (SRP) is a universally conserved ribonucleoprotein involved in the co-translational targeting of proteins to membranes. Archaeal SRP consists of a 7S RNA and homologues of the eukaryotic SRP19 and SRP54 proteins. Lineage: Bacteria; Bacillati; Bacillota; Clostridia. The record is from RNAcentral.